This 309-nucleotide ribosomal RNA is filed under the name uncultured eukaryote. RNAcentral describes it as "partial 18S ribosomal RNA". It matches the Rfam family "Eukaryotic small subunit ribosomal RNA", at positions 1470 to 1796 of the family's 1831-position model. The record is from RNAcentral.
CCCUUAGAUGUUCUGGGCGGCCCGCGCACUACAUUGGCACUGUCAGCAAGGGUCUGAAACUAAAACUUUUGGGUAUUCUGAGAACCCGUGUCGUGACUGGGAUUGACCCUUGCAAUUAUUGGUUAUGAACGAGGAAUUCCUUGUAAUCGCGGUUUAUCAGCCCGCGUUGAAUGCGUCCCUGCCCUUUGUACACACCGCCCGUCGCUCCUACCGAUGAAUCGUCCGGUGAAGUUCAUGGAGUAGUGGUUGUUCCAUCCGCUGUCGAAGUGAAAUAAACCUCAUGAUUUAGAGGAAGGAGAAGUCGUAACA